AAGCUCGUAGUUGGAUUUCUGCUGGAAGCAGCCAGUCCGCCCUCAGGGGUGUGCACUUGGUGAAUUCUAGCAUCCUUCUGGAUUUCUCCACACUUCGUUGUGUGGAGUUUUUUCCAGGACUUUUACUUUGAGAAAAUUAGAGUGUUUCAAGCAGGCUUGUCGCCUUGAAUACUGCAGCAUGGAAUAAUAAGAUAGGAUUUCGGCCCUAUUUUGUUGGUUUCUAGGACUGAAGUAAUGGUUAAUAGGGACGGUUGGGGGCAUUCGUAUUUAACUGUCAGAGGUGAAAUUCUUAGAUUUGUUAAAGACGAACUACUGCGAAAGCAUUUGCCAAAGAUGUUUUCAUUAAUCAAGAACGAAAGUUAGGGGCUCGAAGACAAUCAGAUACCGUCGUAGUCUUAACCAUAAACUAUGCCGACUAGAGAUAGGAAAACGUCAUGCUUGACUUCUCCUGCAC
Molecule: ribosomal RNA, 454 nt
Filed under: Toxoplasma gondii
Lineage: Eukaryota; Apicomplexa; Conoidasida; Eucoccidiorida; Sarcocystidae
Description: SSU rRNA
Rfam family: Eukaryotic small subunit ribosomal RNA
Source: RNAcentral